GAUUGUAGUCUGCAACCCGACUACAUGAAGCUGGAAUCGCUAGUAAUCGCAGGUCAGCAUACUGCGGUGAAUACGUUCCCGGGUCUUGUACACACCGCCCCGUCACACCAUGGGAGCCGGAAAUGUCCGAAGCCAGUGACCCAACCUUAGGGAGGGAGCUGUCGAGGGUGGAGCCGGUAACGUGGGGUGAAGUCGUAACAAGGUAAC
RNAcentral lists this ribosomal RNA (207 nucleotides) under uncultured bacterium. RNAcentral's name for it is "partial 16S ribosomal RNA". It matches the Rfam family "Bacterial small subunit ribosomal RNA", at positions 1296 to 1500 of the family's 1533-position model. The record is from RNAcentral.